RNAcentral lists this long non-coding RNA (581 nucleotides) under Olea europaea subsp. europaea. The record is from RNAcentral. Lineage: Eukaryota; Viridiplantae; Streptophyta; Magnoliopsida; Lamiales; Oleaceae.
CGGAAUUCUCGAGUAUGUAUUAAAAUCACAGCUUGAAGAAAUUAAACUAGAUGUUGCCAUAUUACCAGAAAACUAAAGCAACAAAAUUACAGUAGCAUGAAGAAAUUAAUUUCGAUUAUCCAAGAUUUCAAUUUUCCGAGAUGAAUACAUUAUAAAAGUAUGAUUUCUAAUGAAGAAAAACAUAAAAAUAAAUCCUUCCUACAAAAAUAAAAGAAGCUUGAAGCUCAGCAUCUGAGUGCUGAUGCAUUGCCAAAGGAUCUUCAGUUGCCCAAUUGAAUGAACGAAUCGGGUCAGCAAUUCAAUGACCCGAUUUGAUCAAGAACUGGAUCAUCCUCCAUUUUCUUCCUUCCCGUUGCUGCUGCUCCUUUUGAAGAAGUAUCUGAAUUCAUUUGAUGGAGAAUUAAUGGAGGAAUGACCCAUAAAGACAUUAAGAGAAUACUCUGGUUGAUUGGUGAAUGAUUAACUUCAAUAAAAGAUGUGGGAGAAUUGAGUUGGUGGAGAGAGGAUCUUCUAAGCAUAUGCCUCGACCAUUAACUUUGCUUGCUUGCUUUGCCCUUUUCUAAGUUUUCUUUACAAGUAAA